Cynocephalus volans (Philippine flying lemur) is the source of this 108-nucleotide small nuclear RNA. The record is from RefSeq and is a predicted model, not a curated record. Lineage: Eukaryota; Metazoa; Chordata; Mammalia; Dermoptera; Cynocephalidae.
GUGCUUGCUUUGGCAGCACGUAUACUAAAAAGUGGAAUGAUACAGAGAAGAUUAACAUGGCCCCUGAACAAGGAUGACAUGCAAAUUCAUGAAGGAUUACAUAUUUUU